ACAGCCUAAACUCAAUUAGGCAGGCUUUCUUGUAAUUUCUCCAAGUAGUUUUCAGGACUAGGUCUUCAGGACAUUCCAGAGCUCUUAUCUGGAUGUUGUCUGCUUUUUGUUACAUUCUCUGUCAAGAUGACUCCAAAAUGUUUCAAUAAUGUUGAACUCCAGCCUCUGGGGAGGCCAGUUCAUGACUGAUAGUAUUUGAUUGUGUAUUUUUUAUCCAGGUAUGAGUUUACUGCACUGGCAGUGUGUUUGGGGUCACUGUCAUGCUGAAAAACAAAAGAGUUGCAAUUCUGAUUCUUUUCAGAUGGUUCUCCAUUGUUGCAGACAAACAGAAGUUACAUGACUUACUCUUAAUAGUGUAUUUUUUGAAGCUGUAUUAUAAAACUUUCUCUAUGCUGCAAAUAUAUAGUGUAAAGUCUAUGUAAAGCACAAAAUAUUAAAGCAUAUGUGACAGAGUGUGUUCUGUAUAUGAUGAAGUUUAAGGUCGGUUAAAGAUUGUUGAAGUUCAGACCAGUCUUGGCUGGUUUCUCAUUAAUUUUGUAUGUCUGUUACAUGUUCAUGAAUACAGAAACUACUGGAAUCUGUCUGCUCAGGUGUGUUCGGUGUGCAUGACCAUAUAAGGAAUAAACAGCCAGAGCUUCUACAAGCUGACGUCAUGUGCUGAAAGUAGCUGCAGAGACUCGUCUAUGUGAACGUUCAGUUGCUGUAACUACCCUCAGGAAACGAGAUCAUUGGUUAUUGUGCUCUGCCUUCACUGAGACAAAGACAUGGGGACCAUUUGGUUUGCAAUUUGCAGCAUUUUAACUGUUUUUCAGCCUCCAAAUUUAGUGACUGCUGAGGAGCCAGCAUGUGUACCUGGAUUUCAGUCAGAUCAUCUCACUUUCAGUGUGACGAGAAACUACCUGACACGAGGCACGGUACUGGGCAAAGGUAAUAACAGAAAAUGGUUGUAUAUUGAUUAGUAGUGGUUAAAGUUGCAGUUAGUAAGGAUUUGUUUCUGAGAGGCCAUCAACAGGUUAAAAGCAAAUAGCACAUUUCAAGUAGCUGAGAAUUUCAUGGCUGAAAUUUUCACUUAAUCAAGCACAUUUUUCACCAGUGAUAGAAAACUAUUGCACCUGGAGCUCCUGGGUUUGUACCACAAGACCAUCUUGCUGUGAGCCAAAGUAUUAACCACUACGUCACCAUACCAAAAAUAUAUGAAUCAAAUAUUUGUUUGUCAUGCACAGCUACAAUGAUGACAAAACAUCUCACAUCGCAUGUGCACACUUCACCACACCUGAAGCUGAAAUUGGUUUCAAAGCAGCUUGCAGAUAUGCAGGUUAAACCAGAUAACA
This 1331-nucleotide long non-coding RNA is filed under the name Oreochromis niloticus (Nile tilapia). RNAcentral's name for it is "lncRNA (ENSONIG00000038319.1)". The record is from RNAcentral. Lineage: Eukaryota; Metazoa; Chordata; Actinopteri; Cichliformes; Cichlidae.